UGCGUGGCGUGCGUACCUGCUCAGGAAACCUAAUGAACCGUUUCCAAAUCAUCACGCUCAAUCUUCAAUAAAAUAACUGAACAGAAUCUAAAAUCCUGAACUUUUGACUCUAACAGAUCAUCUGUGGUGGCAACAUCCAUGUUACAGCGUGUGAAUGAUGAAAAGGCCGAGAGGAUUCAUGUACAGACGGCAGCAGUCCAGGACAAUUCUAACAGAAAUGUAGAAACAGGUGACAGAGGAGCACAACAGUUUUGGGAGUCGCUCCUCUUUGUCCUCACAGAAGCUCAGAUGAGCCGAUUUCUUCUUCUGGUCCUGUGUGCAGACAUCCAGAGGAAACGCAACCCUGCACCACGAGAAGAGGGGCCGACCCUGGGACCAGCUGACGAGGCCUGAAGGACUCGCUGGUGAAAAGGCAGCAGUUGUGAAAAAAGGUGCGUCAGAUCCUGAGAGGGAACUCACCGUUAUGUCUUUUACACCAAAUAACUUCCAUACACAUUAAACAAACAUUUAAACAUGCUUAAAAUGUAGAAUAUCUAGAAGAUAACACAGCA
This is a long non-coding RNA of Acanthopagrus latus (yellowfin seabream), 551 nucleotides long. RefSeq lists it as uncharacterized. The transcript is spliced from 5 exons. The record is from RefSeq and is a predicted model, not a curated record. NCBI's taxonomy places the organism in Eukaryota, Metazoa, Chordata, Actinopteri, Spariformes, Sparidae.